This is a non-coding RNA of Podarcis lilfordi (Lilford's wall lizard), 72 nucleotides long. The record is from the annotation of a GenBank genome assembly. NCBI's taxonomy places the organism in Eukaryota, Metazoa, Chordata, Lepidosauria, Squamata, Lacertidae.
UUAAGGAGAUAGCUCAGUCUGUAGAGCAUGAAAUCUCAAGGAUCGUGGGUUCGAGUCCCACAUUGGGCAAAA